UGAGGCUGAGGUUGAAGAGGUUAUGGCCUAUGUUCUUCUCUGGGAUUUUAAUGGUUUCAUGUCUCACAUUCAGGUCUUUCAUCCAUUUUGAAUUUAUUUUUAUGUAUGGUGUAAGA
This is a long non-coding RNA of Mustela erminea (ermine), 116 nucleotides long. RefSeq lists it as uncharacterized. The record is from RefSeq and is a predicted model, not a curated record. The transcript is spliced from 3 exons. Lineage: Eukaryota; Metazoa; Chordata; Mammalia; Carnivora; Mustelidae.